UGUUGGGCUUACCAAGCGUACACGGUGGAUGCCCCGGCAGUCAGGAGGCGAUGAAGGGCGUAAGCACCUGCGAUAAGCGCCGGUAAGGCAUAUGAACCGUUAUAACCGGCGAUACCGAAUGGGGAAACCCAGUGAUUCGUCACACUAUCAUUGUUCGAACUAUAGGUUAUCGAGGGCGAACCGGGGAACUGGAAACAUCUAAGUACCCCUGAGGAAAAGAAAUCAACCGAGAUUCCGUGUAGCGGCGAUGAACGGGGAGGAGCCCAGAGCCUGAAUCAGCAUGUGUGUGUUAGUGGAAGCGUCUGAAAGGCGCGCGAUACAGGUGACAGCCCCGUACAAUAAAAGCGCAUGCUGUGAGCUCGAUGAGUAGGGCGGACACGUGUCCUACCGAAUAUGGGGGACCAUCCUCCAAGGCCAAAUACCCUGACUGACCGAUAGUGAACCAGUACCGUGAGGGAAAGGCGAAAGAACCCCGGCGAGGGGAGUGAAAAGAACCUGAAACCGUAAUGUACACAAGUAGGGGGAGCCCCACCACUGGGCCACAGUGGUGAACUCCACAUACGCACUUUGCUGCGAUACGGUUAACGGAGCGAAAGCGACGUUCAACCUCAAAAGAAGCAGAGGGGGGCUGGCGGUGGGGUGACUGCGUACCUUUUGUAUACGGGGUCAGCGACUUAUAUUCGUAAAGCAAGUGCUAACUGUAUAGGGGAGUUUUGAGUGGAAACUGAGUCUAACUGGGCGUUAAGUUGCAGGGUAUAGACCCGAAACCCGCGGAUUCCAGGCCAUGGGCAGGUUGAAGGUUGGGUAACAUCAACUGGAGGACCGAACCGACUAAUGCUGAAAAAUUAGCGGAUGACCUGUGGCUGGGGUGAAAGGCCAAUCAAACCGGGAGAUAGCUGGUUCUCCCCUGAAAGCUAUUUAGGUAGCGCCUCGUGAAUUAUCUCCGGGGUAGAGCACUGUUUCGGCUAGGGGCCAUCCCGGCUUACCAACCCGAUGCAAACUGCGCAUCGGCCGGAGAAUGUUAUCACGGGACACACGGCGGGUGCUAACGUCCGUCGUGAAGAGGGAACAACCCAGACCGCCAGCUAUGUCCCAAAGUCAUGGUUAAGUGGGAACGAUGUGGGAAGGCCCAGACAGCCGAUGUUGGCUUAGAAGCAGCCAUCAUUUAAAGAAAGCGUAAUAGCUCACCGGUCGAGCUCUGGCCUGCGCGGAAGAUGUAACGCCAAACCAUGCACCGAAAGGGCAGCGAACGUAAUCACUUAAAAGCGAUUCAGCGGAUGACGAUUGACGGAGCGAAGCGACGCUAAAAGCGUAUACAAAGUCGAGUCGGUUUAAGGAUUACGUUCGCUGGGUAGGGGAGCGUUCCUGCAAGCCUGCGAAGGUGGCCUGCUGGAGGUAUCAGAGGCGAAUGCUGACAUAAGUAACGAUAAGCGGGUGAAAAGCCCGCUCGCCGGAAGACCGCGUUCCCGUCCAACGUUAAUCGGGGCAGGGUGAGUCGACCUCAAGGCGAGGCCGAAAGGCGUAGUCGAUGGAACGGGUUAAUAUUCCCGCAUUCUUGGUGUUAUCACUGCGAAGGGGACGGAGAAGGCUAUGUUGGCCGGGCGACGGUUGUCCCGGUUUAAGCGCGUGUAGGUGUAAGGCAGUAAAUCCGGUUCACUUUAACACUGAGGCGUGACGACGAGACUACGGUGCUGAAGCAACAAAUGCCCUUAAGCCUGUGAAAGCCUCUAGCUAUCGGUGGUAACAUCACCGUACCCCCAAACCGACACAGGUGGUCAGGUAGAGAAUACCAAGGUGCUUGAGAGAACUCGGGUGAAGGAAUUCAGGGCAAAAUGGCACAGCCCGGGAGAAGGCACGCUGACAUGUAGGUGAAGUGAUUUACUCUCAUGGGAGCUGAAGUCAGUCGAAGAUACCAGCUGGCUGCAACUGCUUAUAUUGCAACACAGCACUGUGCAAACACGAAAGUGGACGUAUACGGUGUGACGCCCGCCCGGUGCCGGAAGGUUAAUUGAUGGGGUCAGCGCAAGCGAAGCUCCUGAUCGAAGCCCCGGCAAACGGCGGCCGUAACUAUAACGGUCCUAAGGUAUGAAAUUCUGUCGGGUAAGUUCCGACCUGCACGAAUGGCGUAAUGAUGGUCAGCCGUUCCACCCGAGACUCAGUGCGAAAUUGAACUCGCUGUGAAGAUGCAGUGUACCCGCGGCAAGCAUCUGAAAGACCCCGUGAACCUUUACUAUAGCUCGGACACUGAACAUUGAGCCUUGAUGUGUGGUGAGGGAUAUGGAGGCUUUGAAGCGUGGACGCCAGUCUGCGUGGAGCCGACCUUGAAAUACCACCCUUUAAUGUUUGAUGUUCUAACGUGGACCCGUUACCCGGGUUGCGGACAGUGUCUGGUGGUGGUGGAAGUUUGACUUCCGGGGCGGCUCUCCCAAAAGCGAGUAACGGAGGAGCGCGCUUGAAGGUUGGCUAAUCCUCGUCGGACAUCAGGAGGUUAGUGCAAUGGCAUAUGCCAGCCGAAUGCGAGCGCACGGCGCGAGCAGGUGCGAAAGCAGGUCGCAGUGCGAUCCGGUGGUUCUGAAUGGAAGGGCCAUCGUCAACGGAUAAAGGUACCCGGGGAUAACAGGGCUGAUACCGCCCAAGAGUUCAUAUCGACGGCGGUGUUUGGCACCUCGAUGUCGGCUCAUCACAUCCUGGGCUGAAGUGCAGGUUGUCCCGCGGUAUGGCUGUUCGCCAUUUAAAGUGGUACGAGCUGGGUUUAGAACGUCGUGAGACAGUUCGGUCCCUCAUUCGCCGUGGGCGCUGGAGAACUGAGGCCAGUUCCGGCACGAGGAAUGGGAAAGCGGACGCACUACUGGUGUUCGGGUUGUCACGCCAAUGGCACUGCCCGGUAGCGCUAAAUGCGUGUGGAAGAGAUAGUGCUGAAAGCAUCUAAGCACGAAACUUGCCCCUGAGAUGAGUUCUCCCUGAGACUUGUGAGUCUCCUGAAGGAACGUUGAAGACGACGACGAUAGGCCGGUGUGUAAGCGCAGCGAUGCUGAGCUAACCGUUUCAAUGAACCGUGAGGUUUUAAACC
Molecule: ribosomal RNA, 3070 nt
Filed under: Salmonella enterica subsp. enterica
Lineage: Bacteria; Pseudomonadati; Pseudomonadota; Gammaproteobacteria; Enterobacterales; Enterobacteriaceae
Description: 23S ribosomal RNA
Rfam family: Bacterial large subunit ribosomal RNA
Source: RNAcentral